This 384-nucleotide long non-coding RNA is filed under the name Equus caballus (horse). RNAcentral's name for it is "lncRNA (ENSECAG00000044162.1)". The record is from RNAcentral. Lineage: Eukaryota; Metazoa; Chordata; Mammalia; Perissodactyla; Equidae.
CCUCAGCGUGGCUUGGUAAUCGGUGUGUGGGUCCACGCCUGGGAUCUGAACCAGCAAACCCUGGGCCACCGAAGCAGAGUACGCAGAUUUAACCACUAUGCCCCUGGGCUGGCCCUGGUUGAGCAGCUUUUGGAUUUUGAUGGCGUCUGCCGUUGUCCUGGGGAAGGUGGUGUCGGUUUCCGGUUUCAUUGCGGUCCUGGACCAGCACUUUCUCUGCGUCUCAUUUGAUCCUCACAGUAGUCCCUUGAGGUCGCAUGUGUCUGACAGCCCCAGCCACACGCCCUCCCCCACCCCCAGUCUCUUUGAAGAAAGACAGUUAUCUUGGCCAAGACUGUUCUGCCUGUGCCCAGGGCUUCCGGCAUCUGGCCGUGGUCUCAGUCUGCG